Mytilus trossulus (common blue mussel) is the source of this 501-nucleotide long non-coding RNA. RefSeq lists it as uncharacterized. The record is from RefSeq and is a predicted model, not a curated record. The transcript has 4 exons. NCBI's taxonomy places the organism in Eukaryota, Metazoa, Mollusca, Bivalvia, Mytilida, Mytilidae.
ACCGGAAAACCCUGAUGAGUAUAUAUUUUCCUUUUGCUUUCCGAUAUUUGUUUAUUGGAUUGUUUUAAAUAGUUUGAAAUCUGCAAAACAGUAAAGGUUUGCGAAGAACAUUGCCAAUAUGAAAGCAGCAAUCAUUGGUUUACUUAUCUGUUGUUGUACGGCAUAUCUCUCAGUAACUGAAGCUAAUUAUGGCUGUCCAAUUCCUACUUUGUGUCGACUCCAUUGCCUUAGAAAACUCUGUCUUAUUGGACGCUGUGGAGGAAGAGGAUGGAUAAAAAGGAAAUGCAAAUGCUAUAUAUGUAAGAGAUCUAAUCAAGACAAGGCCAUUGAAGAUUUCCCAGCAGACGAAUUCACGGAGGAAUUCCCAAUAGACGAUAUCAACUAACUGUUUAUAAUGUUUGUCAACACCAAGUUACAACAUCAAGACACGUUAUAAACAGUUAUCGAGUAAAUAUCUGAGAAUAUAAUACAUAAAAUAUUAAAAAUAAAUCUUGUUACCAA